RNAcentral lists this long non-coding RNA (16639 nucleotides) under Elaeis guineensis (African oil palm). RNAcentral describes it as "long non-coding RNA (EGUI_LNC002694)". The record is from RNAcentral. Lineage: Eukaryota; Viridiplantae; Streptophyta; Magnoliopsida; Arecales; Arecaceae.
GGAUUGGGAUGGAUCGGAAGAAAGAAGGAGGCGCGGCUCGAGCAGCGGAUGUUAUCCUUUCAGAUUCAGAUUGAAAACUACAUGGAAACCAUCAUGGCGUCAUUCUUGUUCAGCGAUUAAACGCUUGGAUCCGCCGCUUGCAGAGCCAACACCGUUCCCUUCUCUUACCCCCAUGACCUCGAACAAAAAUCAUAUGGGGCGGGCACUACAAAAUAUCACAUGGGGCGGGUUUCAUGGUUUGCCUACAACGCAAUCCUCAGACGACCGAAAAGGAUUGAUUUUGGUAGGAGAGAAGGGGCCUUCAGAUCCCAUCACGAGGCAGGGUGGGAUUGGGAUGAAUCGGGAGAAAGAAGAAGGUGGCGCGGCUCGAGCAGCGGAUAUUAUUCUUUGGGAUUCAGAUUGAAAACUACAUGGAAACCAUCAUGGUGGGAUUCUUCUUCAGCGAUUAAACGCUUGGAGUUUAGUUUUCGUCUCCACACGGCCGAUCCGCCGCUUCCAGAGCCAACACCGUUCCCUUCUCUUUCCCCCAUGACCUCCCCCCAAAACCCUAACAAAAAAAAAAAAGAGAAAUUCUUUGUGCACCGCCUGCGGUGGAGCAAAUAUGACGUGCCUCUUAGCCGUCGAGAGAAGAGGCCUUCAGAUCCCAUCACGAGGGGGUAAGAAGAAGUAGGCGCCGCUCGAGCAGCGGAUCUGGGCGGAUCUUAUUCUCUGGGAUUCAGAUUGAAAACUACAUGGAAACCAUCAUAGUGGGAUUCUUCUUCAGCGAUUAAACGCUUGGAGUUUAGUUUUCGUCUCCACACGGCCGAUCCGCCACUCCGCCGCUUCCAGAGCCGACACCGUUGCCUUCUCUUCCCCCCCAUAACCUCCCCGAAACGAGAAAAUAUUCGUUGCAACGGUGAUACCCCCGAAACCCUAACAAAUAUCAUAUAGGGCGGGCUUCCUAUUUUGCUGGCGCCCAUCCCAAAACUACCCUUCCAACUUUACUCAUUUUUUGGGGUAGCGUCUCCUGCAUAGCGAAAGGACGCUUCUUCCCGCCCCAUCCCUCUGCUCGAUAGGAGGCACAUCGGCCGGUGGGUGGUGGAGAGAGAAGAUCAUGAACAUGUAGACGAAGGAGGCAGCACUGAUGCCCUUGACCAUGGAAUGGCCGUCCGUGGCAUGGAUGGAGGCAUCGGAGAGGAUGGCGUUGUGGAAAUAUCAUGCUUCUAUCAAGAUUAAGCUCUAAAAACCUCAAGGAACCAACUCACACCGCCACAACUCGCACAAAGCCCCAUAUACGAGAAAGAAACCCAAUCAGAACCUAAGAAACCCUUCUAAUCUCUCUCAGGUGCUCUCCUUUCCCACAGAUUUCUGAAAAAUAUAAUGAAAUGAAAAAGGAAAAGAAGCGAAAAGAAACUAUGUAGGGAAAGGUCUUACCCUUAAAUUUUUUCCAUCUUUCCUUUGUUUUCGUUGAUUUUUCCCAUGUUUCCCCAUCUUUCCUCUUUUGUUUCUGUGCUCGGAAGUCCCAACCUGGUGGGAGGCUUGGAGCAGCCGAACAUGGAAGCUUAGACGAUGGCCGGGGUUUUGGGUUGGGUACUUCAUUUCGUUUUUCCGUUCUCCGGAGUCUCAAUCGGUGGGGAGGUUUGGACCGGCUCCAGCUUCCGAUUUCUGAGAGAUAAAUCCCAAAUUGAUAUGAAGCAUUACUUAAUGGGUAUUAUUUGGAUUUGAAAUGAAUCAAUAUCCCGAAAAAAACCGUUUGACCGCCAUCACUGAGCUCACUGUAGUAUUAAAUACCAGAUUGGCCAUUACAUUUUUAUAGACCUAUAUAUUAUAUUUUAACAUAAUUUUUUAAAUAAAUUUUAAAAAUUUAUAUAUAAAUAUAUAAAAAAAAUAUUAUUUAAUAGAUAUUAUUAAAAUUUGAAAUAAAUUAAAUAUUUAAAAAAAAUAUUUGACUGCCGUCAUCGAGCUCAUUGUAGCAUUAGGUGCAAAUUGGCUCAUUACAUAUAAAUCUAUUUAUUAUAUUUUAAUAUAAUUUUUUAAAUAAAUUUUAAAAAUUUAUAUAUAAAUAUAUAAAAUAUUUUAAUUUAUUAUAUAUAAAUUAAAAAUUAAAAAUAAAAUAAAUAGUAUUAAUUAGAUGAUUUUAAUUCAUCAAAAAAAAUUAUAGAAAUACUUCAACAUAUUAUAUAUGGUUUGAAAAUUUUUCAAAGAUUGAUGUAAAUAAAAUUGAUUGUUUCAAUUGUAUAAAAUUAAUAUAUAUAUAUAUAUAUUUAAUUAAAAAAUAAAUUAUAAAUUAUAUUUAUUAACUGAUUUAAAAUUUAAUAAUAGAUAAUCUAUUAAUGGGCUUAAAUUUGGUCGAGACAUAUUGAGUCAGAUUAGUUUAGUGCUAUCCUACAGAUUAGGCUCAAAAAAUCAAUAACUAAGGUUAGAUUAAUAAAUAAAAUUUAUUUAUUUUUUUAAAUUUAAUUUGAAUAUAUUGAUAGUUUAAUUAGAGGUUGAUUUAGGGUUACUAAUAUUGAAAAAAUUAAAGUAAAAUAAUUUUGCAUAUCAUGUUGAAAUGAAAAAAAUUAUUGUAAGUACUUCAUUUUUUUUAUCAUCAUUGAAUACUUUUUAUGACAUUGAUGCAUUUAUAUUGUUCCUAUGUUUAUAUUCUACAAUAGAGAUUUUUAUAUAUUUUAUAUUCAAAACUUUUGAUCUAGCUUCGAUUCAAAAAAAAUAUCGUUGGAUUUUAUUUGUGACAUAGAUUCAAAAUGAUCGAAUGAGAAUAAAAAGAUCACAUUAGAAAUAAUUUAAUUUCAAAUAUUAUUAUUUAUUUUUUCAAUUAUUUUUUGAUAGGAAACCUGCUCAAUUCAAUAAUACUUUAUAAAAUUUUUUGAUGCUCGUAUUUUCAAUUUAAAUGAAAAGAUUAUCGAAGAUGAACAUUCAUACGGAUUUAGAUUCGUUAGUUAAUAAAAAUACUAUAUAUUACAUCAUAUAAAAAAUCUAUAUAUUGAUAAAAUAUUUUAUUUUUUUUAUUUUAGUUAAAUCCCACUAUGAAGUGCAAGUUGCAUGCUAAUUUGGCACAGUAACAUGUAAAUUUAAAAUAUAAACUAUAUCAUAUUAUAAAUUAAAAAAAUAUUAUUAUUGUGGCGGAUCUCGACUCCUACCUGAUGCACCAUUAUUGCGGAUAAGGACUCGGCCCAUCAUGUGAGGUAUUGUUUACUCUAACCCAUGAGCUUCACGAUUUUGCUCUUUAAAAGGCACCUCACAUGGAAAGAAUUUUUUUCUCCUUAUAAAUGCGAGUUCUCCUUGACUCACAAUCGAUGUGGGACUAUUGAUGCCCUCCACAUUAUUAAAACCACAACAAAGCCUCUCAAUCAAGGGAGACUCCAAUGUAUAUAGUCCGAGGAGUCCCACAGUAAGCUGAGACGGACCUCGGCCCCAAAAAAUCAAGGUGGACCUCGAUCCCUAUUUGACGCAUCAUUGUUGUGGAUAAGGGCUCGACCCAUCAUAUGAGGUAUUAUUCGCUCUAGUCUAUGAGCCUCACGGUUUUGUCCUUUAAAAGAUACCUCAGGUGGAAAGAAUUUUUUUCUCCUUAUAAACGCGAGUCCUCCUUGACUCACAAUCGAUGUGAGACUAUUGGUGCCCUCCACAUUAUUAGAACCACAACAGAGCCCUCCAGUCAAGGAAAACUCUGAUGUGUACAAUCUGAGGAGCUCCACAGUCAGUCGAGAUGGAUCUCAGUCUCAAAAAAUCGAAGCAGAUCUCGACCCCUAUCUGGCGCACCGUUGUUGCAAACAAGGGCUGGAUCCGUCACAUAAGCUAUUAUCCACUCUGGUCCAUAAACUUCACGAUUUUGUCCUUUAAAAGGCACCUCAUAUGGGAAAAAAUUUUUUCUCCUUAUAAACGCAAGUCUCCCUUGACUCGCAAUUGAUGUGGAACUAUUGCUGCCCUCCAUAUUAUUAGAACUACAAUAGAGCCCCCCAAGUCAAAGAUGACUUCAAUGUGUACAGUCCGAAGAGCUCCACAAUUAGUCGAGACGGAUUUCAGCCCCAGAGAAUCGAGGCGGACCUCGCCCCCUACCUGACGCGCCAAUCUGUUACAGCCAAUCCCCUGUUGCACUUGUCGUCGUAAAAGAACACCUGCAAAAUGAAGUUCACACUGACCAAAAUUAUGUCCAACGGAGACCCUCCAAUGCUCAAGUCAGUGGGGAGUGACAAACAGUAGAUAAUAAUUUAGAAUAGCAGAGUACCAGUCCAGAAUUGUCUUUACCAAAUACUGUUCAUUUACCUCUUUUUAUAGAUGAGUAGUUGAUAAUCAUCUGUAACGGUUAGACACGUGGAUCCCACAUAUUUCGGCAUUAUAUGAUCGUGGGAUGAUGGUUAUACCCGUCACUGAUCAUGUUUUGAUCAUUAUGCGCUCUCUGCGCUGACAGUUUCAGAUAAGUCGAUUAUAUGUCGGUAAUAAUAGUACAUCAAUCGUAUGUCGGUAACAGUCGUGGAGAUCCGAAUGAGCAUCGAUCAGUAAUUCUGAUAUGCUGAUGGUCAUCGGUCUAAGAUUAAUCUAGUUGUCGUGGCUAAGUCUGUCGAUGGCUGAAGAUAACCAAUCGUAGAUCGGCCAACUGAUUGUUAGUCGGCAUUUUAUGUUCAUGAGAUCGAUUUAGAGUCAGAAUUAGAAAUCGGUUGAAUUGUUUCAAUAAAUAUUAUUUGAAUAAAAAAAUAUUUAUAUGAAAUAGAUUGAUGCAUGAAAAGUAUAAUUAUAUUGAGAAGAAUGAUAAAUCGGAGCAAUCAAGGUUUAAAUCAGAAGAUAAAUUAAUUUUGAACCAACUAAUUAUUAUAAAAAAAAUAAAGUAUAGACAUCUAUAUGCUAUCCUAUUUAAGGUUUGGGUUGCAUGGUUUAUGUGAAAGACUAAGUGAUCUUUUUUUGCAUUAAUUCAAAGCACUCCAAUAUUUGUCUUUCAUCGGCCAUACUGAUGUAGAGCGGAAAUUGCACAAUCCAACAAUUGACGUUGCGAAAGAGAGAAAAUCAUUCUUUCACGUGAAAAAGAGACAACCCAAGCUCUUCUCUUUAUUUCCCAAAAAACAAGGUGUUUGUUGGUUGGUGGAAUUAUCAUUUUAGCUAAAAUUCCACUGAACAGGGACUAGCAAUUUUGAAGACAUUGGAGGACAAUUUGGUCUGAAAAGCUGAAAAGCAAAAUCUACAGAGAAAUAUGGCAGAACUAAAAACUGUGAUUUUCUGUUAGUAUGGCGUAGCCAAGAAUGGUGGUGUCGCCAAUUAUUUAAUAGAAAUUGUAGUAGGCAACACAUCUCAGUGUUUAAAUCCAUAACCUACAUCAUUUGGAGAAGGGGUGCAAUCACUGGCCAUAGCCCACUUUACAGAACCAAGGGUCUGGUGUUCCCAAAACGAUGAAUAUUCCUUGGAACUACUAUUUAUGUCUCAUAUCAACUACUUGACAUGAAUCACGAAGGACUCCGAAUGCAAGCGAGUCCAUAAAAUUUCAACAAAGAAGUGGGCCUCCAUACACUACAUGUGUCUGAAUUAUUUUCAGAUAAUAAGAUUAGUUCGGUGUUACCUUCCAUUUCAAGUUUUUUGAAUUCAACAAUUAUGAUUUUUUUUCUAAAAAUAGAAAUUUUAGAAAUUAUUUUUUGAUAGAAAAAAAGGUAUCUGAAUUAUUUUCAGCUAAUAAGAUUAGUUCGGUGUUACCUUCCAUUUCAAGUUUUUUGAAUUCAACAAUUAUGAUUUUUUUUUCAAAAAUGGAAAUUUUAGAAAUUAUUUUUUUUUGAUAGAAAAAAAAAAGGGUGAAGGAGGACCUAGACGUUUCGAACUUGCAUCGCUUGAAUGGAAGAAGAGACCCGUUCUACUUCUACUGGACUACCACCUUAUUCUAAAAAUUAUUUAAAAAGAAAUUUUGGAACUUAAGAAAUUAAAAUGCUACCUAGAUAAUUUUACUAGAUGUUACUAUUUUUUUUGCAAAUGUUGCCAACUGGGUAUGUGAGGAUUUCAAUUGACACACCUCAGCUAAAAUCUAGAAAACUAAUUAGCAAGUGGAAGACAUGAGAGCUAGUAUCAUAAUAAUGCUAUCUAGAAAAUAUAAACCGCUCUUAGUGUUUGGUUGUUAACGGAGGAAGUGCAAAACUGCAGAAAAAAAUUGAUGAUAAUAAGGAUACNNNNNNNNNNNNNNNNNNNNAUAACUAUAUAUAUAUAUAUAUAUAUAUAUAUAUAUAUAUAUAUAUAUAUAUAUAUAUAUGAUUGUUUUAAAAAAAAAUCUACUGAAAAUAUAAUUUUUAAUUUCAUGAUUUUAGAAUCUUCUUGAGAUUUUACUGCACCACAAAACACCAGAAAUAUUAUAAUUAUUUCAAAGAAACAUUUUAGAACACCAUGAUUAGAAAUCACAACCAUGAAACAUAGAUGGAUGGGGACGCAUAGAUGAGAUCUCACAGUUUACACAUACAGCAAUCAUCCCCCAUCCAAAUUGGAAAUACAUGAUCUCAUCUGUGCCCCACUAUGCGCAUCCUCCAUUCUUUUCUCUAUUUGGCCAGAUAUAGUGAUCUAGACCCAUUCCUUUGACAUUAAUACAAUCUUGGUUAUUCACGGAAAAUUUUAAGCAAUAAUUAAUUAUGCUAUUGGUCAUUCACGGUGGUGUUGGUGCCUAAAAUACUUGAUAUAUAAAUGCUUUUGCAUAAUAGUCCACGAGAUAUUCUUUAUUUUCAUAUUAAUCUCUCAAUCAUUUAAAUAUAGUUGUAUAUUUAAGUGAAACAUAAUCUUUUCAACUUGCUUGGUGGCAAUCGGAUCAAGUCAAACCCAAAAUGGAUCAGGUCAAAUAAAAGAUAGAUAAAAAAUCUAUCAACUUGAAUCCAACCAAUUUCGUUAAUCAUGUCAAAAAUCCAAUUCCAAAUCUGACCAUUUUAUUACAUCGAUAACCUAACCCUAUUUAAAAUGGAUAAAAUCAAGUUAAAUAGGUUAAAUAGAUUAACCAUUGCCAUCUCUACCUAUCUUAAUCAUCAUGCUAUUAAGAAUAACUUCAAUUGCAAAUUAACUUUAUACUAUCGAUGGCUAUAUACAUAUUCUCCUGUCCUCACUUGAACCAAAUAGGGCCUGUAAGCCAACCAUGGGCAUCCAUAGUUGGCAUGAUCAUCAGUAUCGAGGUUGGCAUGAUCAUCAUGAUCUGGUGGGAUCCAUGCAAUUUGCCUUUCAUGUGUUACAGCGGGUCCAUUCAAUCACAACCAUCAUGCCAAACAUGGACAAUCAUGAUUGUCUAAAGGGCCUUCUCCAGCCCGUUACUCCCUCUCUCCAUUGUUAUGCAAACUUCCAAUAAUUGCCCUUUAAAUCAUUGCCUACGAACAGUAUAUCAAGAUAGAGUAAAUUGCAUCAUUUAUUGUAUGCUUCAGAAAAUCUAAUGCUCUAAUUACCACAUUCCAAUAACUCUAAAUGCCUUUCAAUAUGAAGACUGAACCAGUAUCAUCUAAAAAAUAUAAAAUACUUGAUACUUCACUACCUUCAUAGACAAACUUACCUAUCAGUCCCUUGUCCUGACAACAUAAUAUCUGAUGGUAUUUCCUCCAACCUGGUUAUGGCAACCUCAGGUAGUUCUUGUUACGCAAGACCUUUAUGCAUGAACAUCAGUGUUCAAAGUAAUUGAACAAAGUCUUGGAGGAUUAAUAGCUGCUAUCAUGCAAAGCCUUGGAGGAUUAAUAGCUGGUAUCAUGCACAAGGGCUAUAAAUAGGCCAGAUUUGAGUUGGAUCCAUGUUGUGCUUGUGUCCUAAAUCGAUAAGAAAAUUGAGUUCAAAUCCAUCAAAAUGAAUAAGCUCCAACGUCAUGUCCAACUCGAUAAAUAAUUGGAUUCAUAUUCAGAUUUGAGGGUUUUUUUUUUUGGGUGGGGGGGCGGGGGGUGUGUUGUCUAAGGUUCAAUUUGGCAUAAUAUUUUAGUGAACCAACUAGUCAAAGUUUAACAAUUUCCAAAACUAAAAGAAUCCUUAUCACAAUAAUCUGUAUAAAAGGCAUACAGUAUGGAAAGUGAAUGAUUGGUUUUGAAUAUUUCAACCAGUUGUGAAAUAGACUUGAAUUUAUUAGUUUAAUUGAAACAAAACCAAAGUCUGAAUGUCCGUGCCAAUUUUGGAACUAAAAUAGCAACAGGCAAGAUUUAAGGAGAAUAUGAAUGAGAAAAGAUACAGAUCCAAAUACAAAGAAAAGGAUUUAAUACAAAUCAUGAAACCAAUUUUCUGUACAUUCCUAUAUUUACAUAUAUCAUACAUAACCAGGUUCGCAGUGAAUAACCACAAUAUAUUUUUUUUUUUAAAAAAAAAGGUCUUGGAGGAUGAUAGCCUAAUUAAUAAGUUUGAAAUUUUAAUGGUCUAAAAAAUCACUAAACCAAAAAGAUGCUUGAAAUCAUGGGUGGAGACAUAUUGACUAAUUUUAUUAUCUUCUUUUAUGAAUUGAGAACAUGCUAGAAAACAAAUAAAUGAACAAUAUGGCGGUUGCCAUGAAUGUCAUUAUGGAGAAAUACUAUCUUAACACCAUGAGGUGACAAGAGUUCCAGAAAAAUUUUACAGAAGGUAGGUUCUGGUCACUCAAAAUAUUAGACGGCAAUAGUGAUGAAGCAUGAAAGACAGCUAUAUUGAAAAUGAUAAAGUAGUAGUUCUAAAACUAUUUAGUUUAAAGUCUGUGGAUGCAUAAAGAAGUUGAAAGUUGCAUCAAUACGAGAUAAACUGGAGAAUUGUCUGAGAUACUUUGCAGACAACAACGCAGACAAAAGGAAUCAUCACCCAAAGAGAUGUGCAAAUAGGCAAUCCUAAGUCUGAGAAAGUAAGACAUUGGGAAAUUAGUCCUUCCAAAACUCUUCCACAAUGGCCAAAAAAUAAGGUCACAACAGAGCAGCAAUAUCAUAUGAUACUGACAAGACUAUGCUCAAAAAGGCACUAUGUCUGAGAGAGCAUUUUGAUUAUAGCCUAUUAUUCAUAUACUUCAUUACUCCAGCAGCAACUCUAGAUAUCAUUACACACCUCUAGAGCAGGUUCCAAAGAAUAUCUAAAAUCUACAUUCCAGUUCAGAUCAAGUGACUUCAAAAAUUGUAAUUAAGCUAAUUCAGAAAAAUCGAGCUGCAACUGUGGUGAGCCAUCCCCAUUAGUCAAAUCAAAUCAACAAAGACAGAUAUCACGCUUGUGUAACCAUUCAUCUAAGAGUUACUCAAUCACAUGUCCUAGGCAGUUAGAAGGACAAAGUCGUCUAGUAAGAAUCUGAACAUAUAUACAGAAUCUCAGUUUGGACAACAAGCAUGAUACAGCUUUUCAUGUUUAUGGAGGUAAUUGUUGCAACAAGAAGCCUCCAAAGGAGAUCAUCGAAUGCUACACUGCACCCCAGGAAUUGUCCAUAGAUUCAAAACCUUCUAAAUGAAUAGAAAAAAAAAAGAAUUUAAAUGGACUGCAGACAGAGAUUUGGAGAACAGCAUUCCUAUCGGGAAAUAAAGCUUCUUUUGUACAAUGCAAACAGCAGCCUCAGACCUAAAUGAGGAGCAGCAAGUCAUGUAACUAUUAAGGCACAGAGAAAAGUGUACAAAAAUACAACACAGUCAACUAAAAAUAUCAUGACUGCAUAAAGUUGCAAUUCCUUAAGAUGUAUAAAACUCAGCUGCUAAUUUUCCAGGCAAACCCAAGUCAAAAGAGCAGAUAAACAGGACCUUAUGAUGCAGCUGUAUCACUUUCCUCACCCUCAUUCUCAAACCUGACUGGCUUUCCUUUGAGGCAUUUCCUGUAAUAUAAAUAAGAUUCAUGUUAAGAUACUGUAACAGCAAAUCCAAGGACCAUGCUUUCAAGAAAAUGUUGACAAAUCAAAGGGGCAAUACGGGUUCACGAGGCAUAUCUCCUGCUUGCUUAUACAUAAGCAACAAGUGGUGUGCAUCGAAUGCCUCUAAUUUUAUUGUACCGAUAUUUGUCUUUAACACUAGUUCUUUCCAGCAGAGCAUAAAACAUGACAAUCAACAUGAGGCAGAAAAAUCAUGGACCGUUUUAUUUUAGGGUUCCUCAUUUAUCCAGCUUGUUUUCAAAACACAAUUGAAAGAAAUUAAAUAAAUAUAUAAAUAAAUAGAUAUGGGUAUCCAACAAAACAAGAUGCUGACAAUUUAUAUAGGCUGGUUAGUGUAAUUUGUUGUCAACACAGAUUCAAUGGAGAACCUCAGUCCUGGAAAAUACACCUUGGAAAGGGUUAGACAAGCUUAAUCAAAAAGACAAACUAAAAUUAGUAACACAAGCAUAGGCAUUGGUAAGAAAACAUGAACCAGACAUGUUAAUGUGCAGCACAAAAGGGUCUAUCUCAUAAAUGCAGUGGGUAAAUCAUGAAUAACUAGUGGUAGAAGACCUUUGAGGGAGAAAAUUCUCAUCUGAUAAAGCCUUUUCUAGCCUCUCUUCAAAUGGGGUGGCAUGCCAACUAACUUUCUGAUCCUGUUAAUACAUAUAAUAUGACUUAAACAUACAUCCAGAACCUCUAAAUUCUGAUGCAAAAUAAGGAAAAAAUCAAAAUAAAUAACAAAAAAUUAAAAUUAUACCUCUUUGUACUUGUUUGUUGAAUUUGGAAUUCCAUUUCCAUCCCACGUCUUAGGUGAAAUACGAUCAGGUUCCUCUUCAUUCCAAUGUGCAGCAACCAUACCGAGAAUAGGCCUGUCUCCAUCAGAACUCUUACCAGAGUGAGACCUUUCCUUUGUCAUAAUCUCAUUCCCUCCUUUGUUGUUUGUGGUUGGAGGCCUCAGCCAUUGAGACAAACUUGUGACAACAAUUUGUGAACUGUCUGACCUAAAGGGUACUUUUUCUUUGCUAUGCAAAGGUGUUGCCAAACUAAAGGAGCUCUCACCACAGACAUAUUUAUCUUUGUAGAUGACCCCAUCAUUUUGGCUUGUCUUCUCAUUUAGCAUUGUGGGUCUUGAAGAGCUGGUCAAUUUAGAAUUCUUAGGAUCUGAAGUAAGUAAUGCCUGCUCUGUCUUCUUUUUGGUAUCUGGACUAUCACCAUUUCUCUGUUCAAAUUGAUCAUGUGAUUCACCAGGAUGACUGCAGCCCUCACUCAGCAAUUUCCAUUGAGAUAUAUUUUCCACGGGAUUUAAAACUGAGUUUACAUAUUGUGUUCGAAUCCUGGUGCUUUUCUCAGUUCUGAAUUUCUCUAGGUUAGAUGGAUAAACAGUUGCAGGAGUCUGCAUCUCAUCUGUCAAUUUUAGUGGAGUUGGAAAAGGCGAACAUUUUGAAGCAAAUGGUGAAAACUGGCUUUCUUUCCGAGAUGGAGACAUAUCGGUAACAGCUCCUUUUCCAGAUUUAACUCCAGCCUCAUGUUUUACACCUUCUGAUCUCAAAGACUUGAUUGGAGAAACUGAGGGCAUAAUAUUCUCAAAGUGUCGCAAUGUAUUAUGUCCCUCAGAAGUAAAGCUACAUUAAAAGGGAAAAAAAAAUCAAGAAACAAUGUUAAACAUCUUGUCAGUUUAAAUAUAAACCAUGAACAGUUCGACAUGUAAUCAUUUCGAACAGCAUAUGGAAUAAGAACUGAGAGAGAGAGAGAGAGGAAAUCAGAAAACCUUACACUUCAGGACUUUUUUCUGAAAAACCAGAAUCUUCAUGCGUCUGUGGAGUUUUGGGAAGUUGACCAUGUUGUUCAUCCCAUAGAAGUUUCCUCCCAGCUGUACCAGAAAGCCAUGAGUCGAAUUGAGGAAGCAUGCAGUCCUGAUCAGGAAUUUGUUGGAUUACUCUUUCAGAUGCUUUACGAAUUUCAGCAGGAGUUUCUAGCAAAGCACCACAAGACUUGAGAAAUUUGGCCUGAUCAAAAUAGCUUUGAAGUCAGUACUUUGGAAUUCAAAGUGUAAUGAAUUUGCCAAAUCUAGUUUAGAAACCAAGCAGCAUAACAUAGCAGAAGAACUGAUGAGCAUUAUUUAGCUGCCUAAAAGGGCAGAAGCAUAAGACAGUAUUUCACAACGUGUUCCAGUCAUGCAUUUUUUUGUUACCAAAAGAAGAAAAAAAAAUCAUGCAUGUAUUCCAAAGACUGUAAGAGAGACAAUUAAAGAAUAUCAAUUUUCGUGUCAAAAACUUUCCUGCGCAGAAAUAAUUAUCCAUAUGUCUACAAGAUGACCUUUCUGCCAAUGUUGUCAUGCACCUACAAAUUGAAAAUCGAACUAUGCUUAUUGCAGAUGCAGAAGUGCCUUCUGCUGAAAGGAUCACUAUGCUACUCAGAACAACCUUUAUGCUUAAUUCAUAGGUUAUCAAUUAUCACCAUUAAAAACAUAUUUGUAUAUAAGAGAUUAUGGGAAAUAUUUGCUAUUUAAGAUAUGAGCUUAGAAUUAUUGUUACACCACAUGAUAGACCCAAAGAUUUAAGUGCAAAUCCAUAUCAUGCUAAAGUAUGCCGUGUAUGGUAAAGCAAAGUUACCUACAACAUAUUUGGGUGGCUCAUGCAACAAGUUUGUAUAGUAGCGGAAGCUAUAUCCUAUAGCUCCACAUUGAUUGAUACCACAACAGCCUGUAUUCACCUCAAUAAUUUAUCUAGACAUUCACAAAAGUAUUGUGAUUUUGACAUAAAUAAUUUAUCUCUAUCAUGAAUUAGAUUUUAACUGUAAAAAUAGAGCAAAAAAUGAUAAGUUUUUGCUAAAAAGUUCAAGAUCCUUUUUGUAUAUUUCUGCGGACUGGAAUCCUAGAUUAUAUUAGUCUUUGUUCAGUUUGCAGGUUAAAUAUCAUUAUAGGGUAACAAUAUAUUUAGAUUGUUUUAUUCAGCAACUACAUGUUUCAACCUUGAUUUGACAGAGAGAAACUAGAAAUUGUUAGUUGAAUGCUUAAAUAAUUUAUACAUCCCAUCACAGAACAAUUAAAAGAAUAACAUCAGUUCUAGAAGAAAGAACAAGUUUAUUUAUCACAUCUUAGUGUGCCUUUAAGCGUAGCAUAAGGAUAGGAUUAUCUACCACAUCUUAGCAUGCCUUCAAGUGCAGAAUAUCUUUUCAUGCCAGUGCAUGCCAUGUGUUGGCACAGAAUAGUAAAAUAAGGAUACCACCACUGGUCCUUAGAAACAGAGGAACGAUAUAAAUAGUUUAGCCCUUAUGUAGACCACAAAAUGUGGUGAACAGUCAUGGAACAUGACAACUUCAAUAAGAACAAAAUAUAAGGUAUGUGGUCACAUAGACUUGGACGUGUCAUGUACUUGGUGGCCAUCAAUACGUACUAGAAUGUGGCAUGUGCAGUGCAUGUGUUUUUGUUUUUAAUUAAGAAAUAUUUAAAUAAAUAUAAACAAUAAACUCUAGAUGGACUUGAACCUUCAAUCUUUUGGUUAAUAACCACAGCUUAGCUAUGAAACUUUGAUGAUGUGUGAAAGAUGCAAGUUGUGGAACGGAGAUCAAAGGCAGAAGGGGAAAGGUGGAUAGGAAAACAUGGACAUUUAGAUCCGCCUCGAGCCCAGUUAUAAUAGGAGAGUUGUCAUUAUAUAGUAGAACAGAUAGUACUAUACAUCAUCCCAUAUAAUACAAGUGCUAACAGAGGAAAAAGAAAAAAGGUAGGAAAACAAAACAAUAAACAUGCACAAUACAACAAGAAGGAUUCUCCUUCUAUUAUAGGUUAUAUUUCAUUUCUAUAUAAUGACAUAUAGGUUUUUUAGAAAUCUAACAUAAAAAAUUUAAUCAAGUAGCAUUUGGCAACUAAAACAACAAAAGCAGCCACAGAAGUCUGAAAACAAUUGAUCAUUGAGAGAGAAAAAUAAAAAUAAUCUCCACGCCCUUCCCCUCCAACACAAACACAUUUGUUCAACCUCAAAUAGUGUGGGUAUCCAAAAUACAACCAUGUGCUGGCCCAUAUCAGCAUGUCUCGUAGCAUAUAAUUAGGAUAAAUAAUGCCAACCAGCCUUGUCUCAGCUGGCUGUCAUUCAUACCUCCAAAUGGGAGAGCCCGUUUUUGAAACCUGGUGGUCACAACCCCGCAAUAUUUCUCUAAGAAAAAUUAAAUGAAUAACAGUAAGAGUUAUAUGAGUACAAACUCGUUCAGGCUGUCACCUAAAGGCACCCCUUGUAUCAUGUCAACAACCAUGCAGUACACAAAGUACACUUAAGUCCUUGCAUACAAGUAGGCUGGACACCUUGAGCAGUCACCACAAAAGAGAAGGGAUAACCUAGAAAACAUAACCAUAUUUGUGGAACAGGAUUAUGAUACACAACACGACUUUAAACUGCAUAUGAGCUGAAAAGUACAGAAAAUGAGACUCUUGAAGCAAAUAACCAAGAAAACCAGUUCAUAUGGGAGCGAUUGCACAUACGGGAUGCUGAAACAAUGCCCUUGAAAGUUAUUUGCAGUAACAAUGUGUUGAAUCAUCUAUAGCAAACAGUAUUAGAUUAUGAGAUAAUGAUAUUAUAUUGGAAAGAUAAGUUCAAAGAUAUAAGAUGCAUUUAGGGUGAGGAUCAUUACUGACAAAGCAGCAUAGGACACAAUUUCAUUGCAUUUAAACAUCAGUUUCUCAAAAACCAAGAUAAAAUGAACAAAAUAUUGGCAUAGCAGUUUUUUCAAGAAAUUAUAGGUAAAUUAAUAGAUAAAAUUGCAGAAUUUUGUACUGUUAAGAUCACAGAGAAAGGACUUAAAUCAGAAGCAAAAUAAGAACUCGGUGUGAAGAAUUGAAAAACACACCUCAUGCUUAAGUUGUCUCUCUAAGCUGCUAUCCUUAUCAACGUUAUCCUUAUGCCUUACUUGCUCGUGGGGAGAAACUUCCUCUUCUAACAUGGAAAAAGAUUACAUAUGGAAAAAAGGGGAAAGUCAGCUCUAUGUUACGAUUGGAAUCACCGGAAAAUUUCCACGACUUCAAAUAUCAAAAUCAGUCACUACCUUCUCGCAAGAAAACAGAUGCAAGCUGGUUUUUUGACGGCAACUUCUCCUGAUUAAUCGAGGGAGAUCACAAGUACAUCCAAAAAUUAAGCAUAUAUACGGAUUAAUUGAUGUCCAAAAAGGCAAAUUCCAUGAAUUCUUAACCACAAACUAUUGAAAAUUGAAGAAAAAAAAAUCCAGAAAAGAAUCUGGAAGUAGCCAGACCGUGCUCAUAGAAGGAGUCGAACUGGAAAAGAUAUGAGCUUUCCGCUGGUCAUCGCCUUUAAGCCGAAAGCAACCAAAAAGACACCCCAUUUCCGAUCAGGCUCCUCCAAUCGAACCUCUCCGACCGCUCCAAAAACUACUGCGAGAGAGCGGGAGAUCGAGAGGGAGAAGGACUGAUCUCCGAGCUCGCGAAGAAGAUCAAGCCCUAGCUCCCAGCAAGAUCGGUCGAAUUAGGGUUCCCGAAGUGGGAAUUCGGAGAACUAGGGAGGAGAGCUUCUAGUUCUUGGUAUUGAGUUGGGUUUUAAUUUGGGGAAAUUUGAAAUUUAAAUUGGUUGGGACGAGGGAAAGAAUGAAAAUAGAAAGGAAUUGGGAAGCGGACCGUUUUACAUGUUUCAGUCCAGGUGUUAGCACGCCUUGCUGGCUGUUGGGUGUACUUAGUACUCUGAAUUACUGAAAAACUUUUUGACUCAUUCAGAAACAUUCAAUUAUUCUUGAAUUAUGCAUGACAUUCUACUAUUCAUUGACAACUAGCAUAAAAAUCCUUUAUGUAUAGCAAAUUAAUGAUGUCAUAUAUCUGUUAUUAGCGGUGGUGGUGCUUUUUUUUGUUAUCGUAUAUUAUUUUUUGCCUCUUUAUAUUAAUUUUCAGAUGACAAUUAUUCAAAUAGUUUUAAAAAGUCUAUACUAUUUUAUUUUUUGCUAUUUAUUUUUAUUUUCUCUAUUAUCUAAACUUGGAUUUACUGGUCCUUUUCAUAAAUUUUGAAUCAUUAUCUUUAGGAUAGAUUAUAAAAACCUCCUUGACAUUUAUAUUUAUAAAACUUGCAUCCAAUAUUUUUAUAAAAUCAAUAUUUAUAACUUAUUAAAUUAAUAAAGCUACUGAAAUUGCUCACAUAAUAUAAAAUAUCAAAAUUAUCUCCAUACAAAUAUAGAGAUUGAAAUAGCUAGAUUCAUUGAUUUUCGAUUUUUCUCGAACUCUCCUCAUCUUUCAUGAUCUCUCUCUCUAUUUCACUACUCUUUUCAUCUUUGUAAACAAGGAUCUUUUCUUGGAGAGCUAGGACUAUCCUCUUGAUGGAGGCGAGAAGCAGCACCUCUAAGAUGGAGAUUUAAGCUUUUAGCACAACCUUGGCAACAGUACCCAGAUCUUAUCGGCCUCCAAAUCAGUGACGGAUCUAGAAAUUUUACUUUGUGAAAUUAAUAUAAUAAAAAAAUUGAGGAGCUACAGUAAGAAAGAAGAAAAAAAUAAUAAAAUAUUUUUUAAAAAAUAACAAAAUAUAUAAAAAUGAUAAAAUAUAAUAUCUUAAAUAUUCUGUAGAGUAUCAUAGUAAAAUUAUAGAUAUUAUUAAAUAUUAAAAUUAUAAUGACUAACCAAAAAUUAUGCUAAUCAUAUAUAUUUGAUAAGAGUGAAAAAAAGAAGAAUACAAAAAAAAUUAAAAAAAUAUUUAAAUAAAAAGAAGUUAAAAGAGACAUACUUAAUUCAAAUUGAGAAGAGAGACAAAAAGAAUAUAUAGUUUUCUAUUAUAUUUGAAUUGAUUAGAAUAUAAAAAAUAAAUUAUUAUGGAGCAUAAAUAUAAAGGAUAGACUGAUAGAGACCAUAGGAUUGGGAGGGGAUAUUAAAAAAUAAAUAAUAAAUAAUAAAGAAAGAAAGAGAAAGAAUAAGAGAGAGGGGGAGAG